Molecule: ribosomal RNA, 512 nt
Filed under: uncultured bacterium
Lineage: Bacteria
Description: bacterial SSU rRNA
Rfam family: Bacterial small subunit ribosomal RNA
Source: RNAcentral
AGUCGACGGCAGCCGGGGGCAACCCUGGUGGCGAGUGGCGAACGGGUGAGUAAUACAUCGGAACGUGCCCAGUCGUGGGGGAUAACUACGCGAAAGCGUAGCUAAUACCGCAUACGAUCUACGGAUGAAAGCGGGGGAUCGCAAGACCUCGCGCGAUUGGAGCGGCCGAUGGCAGAUUAGGUAGUUGGUGGGGUAAAGGCUCACCAAGCCAACGAUCUGUAGCUGGUCUGAGAGGACGACCAGCCACACUGGGACUGAGACACGGCCCAGACUCCUACGGGAGGCAGCAGUGGGGAAUUUUGGACAAUGGGCGCAAGCCUGAUCCAGCCAUUCCGCGUGCAGGAUGAAGGCCCUCGGGUUGUAAACUGCUUUUGUACGGAACGAAACGCGCUGAGUUAAUACCUCGGCGUAAUGACGGUACCGUAAGAAUAAGCACCGGCUAACUACGUGCCAGCAGCCGCGGUAAUACGUAUGGUGCAAGCGUUAAUCGGAAUUACUGGGCGUAAAGCGUG